GGCGGCGAGCAGCACGGUAGCUCGUCGGGCUCAUAACCCGAAGGUCGCAGGUUCAAAUCCUGUCCCCGCAACCA
Molecule: transfer RNA, 74 nt
Filed under: Bacillus cereus
Lineage: Bacteria; Bacillati; Bacillota; Bacilli; Caryophanales; Bacillaceae
Description: tRNA-Met
Rfam family: tRNA
About the family: Transfer RNA (tRNA) molecules are approximately 80 nucleotides in length.
Source: RNAcentral